AGCAGCCGCGGUAAUUCCAGCUCCAAUAGCGUAUAUUAAAGUUGUUGCAGUUAAAAAGCUCGUAGUUGAAUUUCGGGAUCAAUAUGUUGGUCGUGCCUUGGUACGUACUGGCAUUAUUGGUUUCUACCUUCUGAAGAACCUCGAUGUCAUUAAUUUGGUGUCUUGGGGAAUCAGGACUGUUACUUUGAAAAAAUUAGAGUGUUUAAAGCAGGCUCGCGCUUGAAUACAUUAGCAUGGAAUAAUGAAAUAGGACGUUUGAUUCUAUUUUGUUGGUUUCUAGGAUCGACGUAAUGAUUAAUAGGGAUAGUUGGGGGCAUUAGUAUUCAAUUGUCAGAGGUGAAAUUCUUGGAUUUAUUGAAGACUAACUACUGCGAAAGCAUUUGCCAAGGAUGUUUUCAUUAAUCAAGAACGAAAGUUAGGGGAUCGAAGACGAUCAGAUACCGUCGUAGUCUUAACCAUAAACUAUGCCGACUAGGGAUCGGAUGAUGUUAAUUUUUUAAUGACUCAUUCGGCGCCUUAC
RNAcentral lists this non-coding RNA (520 nucleotides) under uncultured Glomus. RNAcentral's name for it is "SSU rRNA". It matches the Rfam family "Eukaryotic small subunit ribosomal RNA", at positions 569 to 1091 of the family's 1831-position model. Lineage: Eukaryota; Fungi; Glomeromycota; Glomeromycetes; Glomerales; Glomeraceae. RNAcentral also lists the same sequence under 1 other name. The record is from RNAcentral.